Molecule: ribosomal RNA, 467 nt
Filed under: Scardovia sp. oral taxon 195
Lineage: Bacteria; Bacillati; Actinomycetota; Actinomycetes; Bifidobacteriales; Bifidobacteriaceae
Description: bacterial SSU rRNA
Rfam family: Bacterial small subunit ribosomal RNA
Source: RNAcentral
GACGAACGCUGGCGGCGUGCUUAACACAUGCAAGUCGAACGGGAUCCACUGGGCUUUUGUUUGGUGGUGAGAGUGGCGAACGGGUGAGUAAUGCGUGACUAACCUGCCGUAUGGUUGGGGAUAGCUCCUGGAAACGGGUGGUAAUACCCAAUGCUCCAGCUGGAUGCAUGUCUGGUUGGGAAAGCUUUUGUGCCAUAUGAUGGGGUCGCGUCCUAUCAGCUUGUUGGUGGGGUGAUGGCCUACCAAGGCGUCGACGGGUAGCCGGCCUAAGAGGGCGACCGGCCACAUUGGGACUGAGAUACGGCCCAGACUCCUACGGGAGGCAGCAGUGGGGAAUAUUGCACAAUGGGCGCAAGCCUGAUGCAGCGACGCCGCGUGCGGGAUGGAGGCCUUCGGGUUGUAAACCGCUUUUAUAGGGGGGCAAGCUAUGCCUGUGUGGUGUGGUGAGUGGACUUUAUGAAUAAGCA